This is a non-coding RNA of Podarcis muralis (Common wall lizard), 612 nucleotides long. The record is from RefSeq and is a predicted model, not a curated record. NCBI's taxonomy places the organism in Eukaryota, Metazoa, Chordata, Lepidosauria, Squamata, Lacertidae.
GUGAUUCCUUCUGCUUGGUCUCUGCAGGGGAUGUCCACAUGCUGACUUGCUUUGGCCCCCAUGGGGUAGUUAUCCUGCCACAGCGGCCAUUCUUCACAGAUGGGACCCUGCGGGAACAGGUGAUAUACCCUCUGAAGGAAAUCUAUCCAGUUUCGGGGUCUUCGGAUGAUGAAAGGAUUCUGAGAUUCCUGGAGCUGACUGGGUUGGUGAGUUACCGAGGGAAUAAAUGAUGCACUUUCUGUCCCAAUUUGGGGAUAGAAAGUGGCUAUAAAAGCUCAGCAAGGUGCACUGUAAAUGUCUAUGGAUCAUUCCUAAAAAGGAGGAUGCUGGGAUUGCCAGGAAGCCUCACUGUUUGACCAUGGAAGAUUGGAUUAGUCCAAAGAGUAAUUUGGGCUCCAUGAAUUCUGAGAUGAAUGUAGCUCUGAGUAUGUGCCAUCUUGUACAGUGGUACCACUGGUUACAUACGCUUCAGGUUACAGACUCCGCUAACCCAGAAAUAGUGCUUCAGGUUAAGAAACUUUGCUUCAGGAUGGAACAGAAAUCGGCUCCGGCGGUACAGCAGCAGCGGGAGGCCCCAUUAGCUAAAGUGGUGCUUCAGGUUAAGAACAGUUU